Molecule: ribosomal RNA, 735 nt
Filed under: Saksenaea vasiformis
Lineage: Eukaryota; Fungi; Mucoromycota; Mucoromycetes; Mucorales; Saksenaeaceae
Description: eukaryotic LSU rRNA
Rfam family: 5.8S ribosomal RNA (bases 242-392)
Source: RNAcentral
CUCUUUAGUACCAAGGAAUUCUUUGGGCUAGAGAGAUAUCUUAUCCUGUGCAAUGAACUUGUCGCCUGGGGUUUGAAUAUAGUCUUUGGUAGUAAAUUUUUUAUUGCCAUUGCUGACCCCAAUAGGCAUCCUUUCCAAUACUUUUUAGUAUUAAAACACUAUUGUAUUUUUUUAACUGAAUUAAAAAUCUUUGCUAAAAAGAUUAUAACCAAAUGGGCUAUUUUGGCUUGUUUGAAAAAACAACUUUCAGCAAUGGAUCUCUUGGUUCUCGCAUCGAUGAAGAACGUAGCAAACUGCGAUAAGUAGUGUGAAUUGCAUUCAGUGAAUCAUCGAAUCUUUGAACGCACCUUGCACUCACUGGUAUUCCGGUGAGUACGCCUGUUUCAGUAUCAUUGAAAACCCACAACCAAAUAUUUUGUUUGGUUGGACUUGGGCUACUAGUUUGGUAGUCAUGGUAUUAAUUUUUAAUGCCAAACGACAAGCCAAGCAGCCUGGAAUCUAUGGAAUGGUCAAUUGUAUCGUAGUAAUCAUUAUACAAGGCCUGAGCUUUAUAAACGAACUGGACUUUGAUUUGACCAGUUUUAGCUCUAGUCAUUGGGAUUACAGUAAAUCGAUCUUGGCUUAAAGGUCUAGUCAGUUUCGGCUGUCUAAACUAAUACCAAAUCAUUUUCUCAGUAUCGAUCUGAAAUCAGGUGGGACUACCCGCUGAACUUAAGCAUAUCAAUAAGCGGAGGA